AUUGAACGCUGGCGGCAGGCCUAACACAUGCAAGUCGAACGGUAACAGGAAACAGCUUGCUGUUUCGCUGACGAGUGGCGGACGGGUGAGUAAUGUCUGGGAAACUGCCUGAUGGAGGGGGAUAACUACUGGAAACGGUAGCUAAUACCGCAUAACGUCGCAAGACCAAAGAGGGGGACCCUCGGGCCUCUUGCCAUCGGAUGUGCCCAGAUGGGAUUAGCUUGUUGGUGGGGUAACGGCUCACCAAGGCGACGAUCCCUAGCUGGUCUGAGAGGAUGACCAGCCACACUGGAACUGAGACACGGUCCAGACUCCUACGGGAGGCAGCAGUGGGGAAUAUUGCACAAUGGGCGCAAGCCUGAUGCAGCCAUGCCGCGCGUAUGAAGAAGGCCUUCGGGUUGUAAAGUACUUUCAGCGGGGAGGAAGGGAGUAAAGUUAAUACCUUUGCUCAUUGACGUUACCCGCAGAAGAAGCACCGGCUAACUCCGUG
RNAcentral lists this ribosomal RNA (490 nucleotides) under uncultured bacterium. RNAcentral's name for it is "partial 16S ribosomal RNA". It matches the Rfam family "Bacterial small subunit ribosomal RNA", at positions 30 to 507 of the family's 1533-position model. The record is from RNAcentral.